CUUAGUUUUAGCUCUGCAAUGGGAUGGGAUCCGAAGCCCCAUGAGGGAUCAUAUAGGCUCUACCAUCCAACUCCUAUUCCGACACGUCCUCGUCGUGUAGAGUGCUAACAUGUGUCCCCACAUUUCCAAGCCUGGAUACACGGACGAACCAGGAGGGUGGUGGGCACCCCAGGAAACUGGGUGGA
This is a non-coding RNA of Anopheles gambiae str. PEST, 185 nucleotides long. It matches the Rfam family "drz-agam-2-2 ribozyme". The record is from Rfam. NCBI's taxonomy places the organism in Eukaryota, Metazoa, Arthropoda, Insecta, Diptera, Culicidae.